RNAcentral lists this ribosomal RNA (484 nucleotides) under uncultured bacterium. RNAcentral describes it as "partial 16S ribosomal RNA". It matches the Rfam family "Bacterial small subunit ribosomal RNA", at positions 30 to 507 of the family's 1533-position model. The record is from RNAcentral.
AUUGAACGCUGGCGGCAGGCCUAACACAUGCAAGUCGAGCGGAUGAAAGGAGCUUGCUCCUGGAUUCAGCGGCGGACGGGUGAGUAAUGCCUAGGAAUCUGCCUGGUAGUGGGGGAUAACGUCCGGAAACGGGCGCUAAUACCGCAUACGUCCUGAGGGAGAAAGUGGGGGAUCUUCGGACCUCACGCUAUCAGAUGAGCCUAGGUCGGAUUAGCUAGUUGGUGGGGUAAAGGCCUACCAAGGCGACGAUCCGUAACUGGUCUGAGAGGAUGAUCAGUCACACUGGAACUGAGACACGGUCCAGACUCCUACGGGAGGCAGCAGUGGGGAAUAUUGGACAAAGGGCGAAAGCCUGAUCCAGCCAUGCCGCGUGUGUGAAGAAGGUCUUCGGAUUGUAAAGCACUUUAAGUUGGGAGGAAGGGCAGUAAGUUAAUACCUUGCUGUUUUGACGUUACCAACAGAAUAAGCACCGGCUAACUUCGUG